GAUGAACGCUGGCGGCGUGCCUAAUACAUGCAAGUCGAGCGAACAGACGAGGAGUUUGCUCCUCUGACGUUAGCGGCGGACGGGUGAGUAACACGUGGAUAACCUACCUAUAAGACUGGGAUAACUUCGGGAAACCGGAGCUAAUACCGGAUAAUAUAUUGAACCGCAUGGUUCAAUAGUGAAAGACGGUUUUGCUGUCACUUAUAGAUGGAUCCGCGCCGCAUUAGCUAGUUGGUAAGGUAACGGCUUACCAAGGCAACGAUGCGUAGCCGACCUGAGAGGGUGAUCGGCCACACUGGAACUGAGACGCGGUCCAGACUCCUACGGGAGGCAGCAGUAGGGAAUCUUCCGCAAUGGGCGAAAGCCUGACGGAGCAACGCCGCGUGAGUGAUGAAGGUCUUCGGAUCGUAAAACUCUGUUAUUAGGGAAGAACAAAUGUGUAAGUAACUAUGCACGUCUUGACGGUACCUAAUCAGAAGGCCACGGCUAACUACGUG
Molecule: ribosomal RNA, 497 nt
Filed under: uncultured bacterium
Lineage: Bacteria
Description: partial 16S ribosomal RNA
Rfam family: Bacterial small subunit ribosomal RNA
Source: RNAcentral